UAUUUCUAACAGAUUCUUUCUAAGGACUUUAUAAGGCAUGUUAGACGAAUUAUGAAAAGAUGAAAAUUUAUUAAAUUUUUGAAUUGGUAAUGAAUAAAAUCAUGACAUUAAUGCUUAAAAAUAUUCUGGUUACAAGUUUGAGCUUCCUUCAUUUUCAAGAAGGAAUAAAAAAAACCAAGAACUGAAAAUUCCACGGUACAUCCCAUUUUGAUACAUUGAUGGGAUGAUAAAAAUCCAAAACAUUCUCUGGACAAAAUGAAAUGAACUGUGAAAUCAAAUACUUAAUGUAUAUACUAUAUAUCAAACCUAUGACUCAUCACUAUAACAAAGGAAUUUUUUUCUCCUCUUAUUAGACAAACAACAAGAACAAA
Molecule: long non-coding RNA, 371 nt
Organism: Lycium ferocissimum
Lineage: Eukaryota; Viridiplantae; Streptophyta; Magnoliopsida; Solanales; Solanaceae
Exons: 2
Source: RefSeq, a predicted model, not a curated record